Molecule: ribosomal RNA, 1433 nt
Filed under: Staphylococcus saprophyticus
Lineage: Bacteria; Bacillati; Bacillota; Bacilli; Caryophanales; Staphylococcaceae
Description: 16S ribosomal RNA
Rfam family: Bacterial small subunit ribosomal RNA
Source: RNAcentral
AUACAUGCAGUCGAGCGAACAGAUAAGGAGCUUGCUCCUUUGACGUUAGCGGCGGACGGGUGAGUAACACGUGGGUAACCUACCUAUAAGACUGGGAUAACUUCGGGAAACCGGAGCUAAUACCGGAUAACAUUUGGAACCGCAUGGUUCUAAAGUGAAAGAUGGUUUUGCUAUCACUUAUAGAUGGACCCGCGCCGUAUUAGCUAGUUGGUAAGGUAACGGCUUACCAAGGCGACGAUACGUAGCCGACCUGAGAGGGUGAUCGGCCACACUGGAACUGAGACACGGUCCAGACUCCUACGGGAGGCAGCAGUAGGGAAUCUUCCGCAAUGGGCGAAAGCCUGACGGAGCAACGCCGCGUGAGUGAUGAAGGGUUUCGGCUCGUAAAACUCUGUUAUUAGGGAAGAACAAACGUGUAAGUAACUGUGCACGUCUUGACGGUACCUAAUCAGAAAGCCACGGCUAACUACGUGCCAGCAGCCGCGGUAAUACGUAGGUGGCAAGCGUUAUCCGGAAUUAUUGGGCGUAAAGCGCGCGUAGGCGGUUUCUUAAGUCUGAUGUGAAAGCCCACGGCUCAACCGUGGAGGGUCAUUGGAAACUGGGAAACUUGAGUGCAGAAGAGGAAAGUGGAAUUCCAUGUGUAGCGGUGAAAUGCGCAGAGAUAUGGAGGAACACCAGUGGCGAAGGCGACUUUCUGGUCUGUAACUGACGCUGAUGUGCGAAAGCGUGGGGAUCAAACAGGAUUAGAUACCCUGGUAGUCCACGCCGUAAACGAUGAGUGCUAAGUGUUAGGGGGUUUCCGCCCCUUAGUGCUGCAGCUAACGCAUUAAGCACUCCGCCUGGGGAGUACGACCGCAAGGUUGAAACUCAAAGGAAUUGACGGGGACCCGCACAAGCGGUGGAGCAUGUGGUUUAAUUCGAAGCAACGCGAAGAACCUUACCAAAUCUUGACAUCCUUUGAAAACUCUAGAGAUAGAGCCUUCCCCUUCGGGGGACAAAGUGACAGGUGGUGCAUGGUUGUCGUCAGCUCGUGUCGUGAGAUGUUGGGUUAAGUCCCGCAACGAGCGCAACCCUUAAGCUUAGUUGCCAUCAUUAAGUUGGGCACUCUAGGUUGACUGCCGGUGACAAACCGGAGGAAGGUGGGGAUGACGUCAAAUCAUCAUGCCCCUUAUGAUUUGGGCUACACACGUGCUACAAUGGACAAUACAAAGGGCAGCUAAACCGCGAGGUCAUGCAAAUCCCAUAAAGUUGUUCUCAGUUCGGAUUGUAGUCUGCAACUCGACUACAUGAAGCUGGAAUCGCUAGUAAUCGUAGAUCAGCAUGCUACGGUGAAUACGUUCCCGGGUCUUGUACACACCGCCCGUCACACCACGAGAGUUUGUAACACCCGAAGCCGGUGGAGUAACCAUUUAUGGAGCUAGCCGUCGAAAGUG